AAAACAAACUAGAUAGUCUCCAUAAGAAAUUUCUUCUCACAGAACACCACAGUUUCCCAAGGGUUUUCCUGUACCAGAAGGGUCCCGUGUGAGCAUUCUGUUUUCUGCUAUGUCUAACUGAAGAAAAUCAACAUGCCGUGUACAUCCCAUGUAUUUUUUGAGUGAAAAUGAGAGAAGCACAGGUCUCUACACUCAGAGAGCACUUGCCACGACUCCCUCCCAGGGAGGUGCUGCUGAACUUCCACUGAAAAUGGCCGCACAGCUCAGCUCGUUAGAAGAAAAAGUGAGAAGUGGGAGUCACAUAAAUAAGCGAGAUUAGGGGAUGCAGAAACAUUUGUCCCGUGGCAUCCAAACAGAGAGUGGAGAAAAACUGAAUAAACAGAGGACCGCACAUCUAUCUUUAGAGGACCCCUAAGUGGUGGCCAUGUCACCUCAUGCCCAGUGACGCCCUGAAGGAGCUACUGACAUGUACAAAGCAGCUCUGGUUUAUAUGGCUUUUGUUCAGCCGACAGUGGGCCUAUGUUUUGAAAGAAGCUGUCCGCUCUUCUCCGUGAAAAGGAUCAUGGCAAGAGGUUUUCUUCUUUUUCUGAAUUUUAACUUGGACCCAUGGAAAGAAGAAGAAGAAGAAGAA
Molecule: long non-coding RNA, 631 nt
Organism: Aptenodytes forsteri (emperor penguin)
Lineage: Eukaryota; Metazoa; Chordata; Aves; Sphenisciformes; Spheniscidae
Exons: 2
Source: RefSeq, a predicted model, not a curated record